CCUACGGGUGGCAGCAGUAGGGAAUAUUGCUCAAUGGGGGAAACCCUGAAGCAGCAACGCCGCGUGGAGGAUGAAGGUUUUAGGAUCGUAAACUCCUUUUGUUAGAGAAGAUUAUGACGGUAUCUAACGAAUAAGCACCGGCUCACUCCGUGCCAGCAGCCGCGGUAAUACGGAGGGUGCAAGCGUUACUCGGAAUCACUGGGCGUAAAGAGUGCGUAGGCGGGGUAGUAAGUCAGAUGUGAAAUCCUGUAGCUUAACUACAGAACUGCAUUUGAAACUGUGACUCUGGAGUGUGGGAGAGGUAGGUGGAAUUCUUGGUGUAGGGGUAAAAUGCGUAGAGAUCAAGAGGAAUACUCAUUGCGAAGGCGACCUGCUGGAACAUUACUGACGCUGAUGCACGAAAGCGUGGGGAGCAAACAGGAUUAGAUACCCGGUUAGUC
This 440-nucleotide ribosomal RNA is filed under the name uncultured bacterium. Its description in RNAcentral is "partial 16S ribosomal RNA". It matches the Rfam family "Bacterial small subunit ribosomal RNA", at positions 338 to 795 of the family's 1533-position model. The record is from RNAcentral.